AUAGAAAGAACAUGAACAGUGCAUCUCCUAUAUUAAUAACAGGGCUAAGUACUAGCAUCAAGAUAGAAUAAAUCUUACCAGAAGCUAUCUGAAAUGAAUCGAAAUGCCGGAAUUACAGGCUUAAGGCUGGCCAAAGCAUGUACCAGAAACUUUGACUAAAGCAUUUAUAAUACAAUCAGCUACAAAUCAUUGGUUGAACGCAAAGCGGGAAAUAGAUUUGAUGUCCUAUGCCCUGGAUUAGAUGUCUGUGUUUCCACAGGGCUUAGAACAACAAAGUAAUGUAAUAUGAAUAAAUAAAUGUCUGAAACAGAAGAAAGUAGGAAUCCAAGAUGCGAUAUCAAAGGCUCUGUGCUUUCACUAGUUUGUAUGUGGUCAAACAGUUGAACAAUGAGCAUUAUUGGUCAAUGUUUGAUAGGGUUGAAAAUGGAUUGGAUGCUGGUAUUUCCAUAUCCAUAUCCACCUUCUUCUAUGGACACUGAUACGGAUAUUAAAUAGAUACAAAAAUUAGUAUCCAUAUUUGCUCUAAAAAGACAUGGAUAUGAAUUGGAUAUUAAGCAUAUUCAUACUUGUUCUGAAUGGAUACAGAUAUAGGCAGAUACUAUUUAUAUGCAUAUUUUUCUAUCCUACUAAGAUAUAAGUUGGAUAUUAUUCAGAUAUAAACCGAAUUUUUAGCAAAAUUCAGUGAUAAAAACUAAAAUUAAUAAUAUAAUUAUACAGAAUGGGAAUAGAAUUCAUUAUGCAGAGCAGCACCUAAGCACUAAGUAUCCCCUAGUCUCCCACCUCAAGUCUUCUAUCUUUUAGAACCAUGUGCCUGGUUGAAAUUAUCUAGUCAUGCAGGAAGAAGCUUAGUCUAAGAAUUCCUGGUUAAGGAUAAACCUUUUGUCAAGUAAAAGCUCUUUAAAAAGUGAAAUGCGACCUAAGCAUAACACCAAGCAUAUCGGUGUAGUCCUCAUAUUUAUUCAAUCUACGACGCUUUACACAUAAAAUAGAAACCUUGACAAAGCCCAGCACAACAAAAGUGACUGGAAGUUCUAUCUUUAGAAAUGUUAUCAUGAGCUAAUCCUCUCUGACCUACCAAUUCACUCUAGGAGAGGUUCAUCUCCUUCCAAUUUACUCACAAGGUAGUGUUAGGAACUUAGAUUUAGAAAUGAAAGCGCAUUAGAGCCUUUGCAAACAAGCCAAACAAAAUCAAUUAAACUAAGGUACAAUAUAAAACAAUAUAUUGACUCCUUUACAGCACAAAUAAAGCAACAAUUAACAGAAAAAGAAAAAAUGUAUCAAAAAAAAAGAACAUUAAGCUCACUACCAUAAACUUGCUGAUCUACAUGACACAAUUAGGGUUUGUAUAAAAGCAUAAACUAACUAGUGAAAGGAUUGCAAUGAUUCUAGAAAAUUCGCAUCCACCUUUCACCAUCAGUGAACCAAUACAAUGAUCUCUUCCUCCACAGCUACUAAGAAUUUACUCAUUCAACUUAGACAAGAAAGGCCAAUACAUUAUACAUUAUAUAAUUUGUAAAAUUGUUGUGCUAGGUCCCGUUUCAAAUUCCAUAGAAUAUUCCUUUCAGGAAGUUAUGAUGAUUACUAUGUAAUGGAAAAAAGCUGAAGUGUCAUACUCUAAAGACAUGUAGGACACUUCAUAGCAAUCCAUCAUAAUCGUGAGAAUUAUAAUAUUAUGAGUAUAAUUAACAUAUGCAUAUAUCUGAUGAAACUCAAUAAUCUUAUCUAGGACCAACAAAA
This is a non-coding RNA of Phoenix dactylifera (date palm), 1737 nucleotides long. Lineage: Eukaryota; Viridiplantae; Streptophyta; Magnoliopsida; Arecales; Arecaceae. The record is from RefSeq and is a predicted model, not a curated record.